Long non-coding RNA from Solanum lycopersicum (tomato), 1593 nucleotides. RefSeq lists it as uncharacterized. NCBI's taxonomy places the organism in Eukaryota, Viridiplantae, Streptophyta, Magnoliopsida, Solanales, Solanaceae. The record is from RefSeq and is a predicted model, not a curated record.
GAGGCAUUUAUGGAAAUGAAAUAAUUGAGGAUUUUAGGCAUUUCAGAAGCAAAAAAAAACCCGCCUCACACACGAAUACGAUAUAUGAUGAAUGCAGAGUCCAAAAGCUGAGUCGGCCAUUGUACACAAUCUCAACUUUUCCAUUAGAUGUUGCGGAGGAAAUCCUCCAUCGACUACCCGUUUAUCCUGUUUUACGUUGUAGGUGUGUAUCAAAAGCUUGGCUGAAUCUUAUUUAUACUCCUCAAUUUGCUAAAUUGCAUUUCAUUUUUUCUCUCAAACCCCAUUGCUUAAUCUUUAGAAAAGUUGAUUAUUAUGGAUAUGGAAAUAGUUGCUUUUACUCUCUACUCUUUGAUUCACUCAAUUCCCGAGUUGUUACUCCCAAAGAAUUGACAAACCCUUUAAUUUCUUCUCAAUUUAAUACCAACAUACUUGGUUCUUGUAAUGGGUUGUUGUUGAUAUCAAAUACUCUUGAUGAAAUUGCUUUAUGGAAUCGCUCAACUGGAAAAUACAACUACCAUCUCUAGGGAUUGCUAGAAAUGAUGAAGUUAGGGUUAAUUUUUGAUUUGGGUAUGAUGUUAUCAAUGAUGACUAUAAGGUUGUUAGAAUUGUUCAGUUUCCCGGUUCUGAAAAGGGUUCUUUUCAAUCUCAUGUUAUGAAUUAUAGUUUGAAAUCAAGUUGUUGGAGCCGGGUUGAUGAACAACUUCCUCCUUAUCACCUUAAGUAUGUAGAUCUACCAGGUACAUAUCUAAAUGGUUCAUUGCAUUGGGUUGUUACUGCAUAUAUCUUGAGGAUGCCUGUUGAUACAUUUGAAUCCCUAAUUGUUGCUUCUACUUGCAACAGAAAAGUGGCUACUUGUACCGCGAACCCCUUUUACUUAUAUGAAUUGCAUUCUGAAUUUAGCCGUAUUAGAAAGCUCCCUUUGCACAUAUAAAACCUACAUGAUAGAUUCUUAUGGUGAUUGGGGGAAUGUGGAUCUUUUUAUGGACCAUGUGGACAUUUGGGUUAUGAAGGAAUAUGGAGUUAAGGACUCGUGGACUAUGGUUGCUUCACUGGACGAACCAAAUAAGCAAAAUUGGCCAUACUAUGGUUCCACUUGAAUUUUCAAAAGAUAGAAAGAAAAUUCUUGUGGAACAAAUAAUAACCGAUUCCGUUGGAAUACUAUUAAUGAUGACUCUACAAAGAUUGUUGAUACUGAAAUUGGGGCUUACGUGGCUUUCUACAUUUCAAUAGCUAUGUUUAUUUCAGAAGCCUUGUUCAGCUCCAUUCCAAUGAUGAGGAAAAGGAUCUGAAUAAACAAUAUAAUCAAUAUAAAGGAGGAAACACGAAAGCCUUAAAGAAGAGGCACAUUUAUACUGAAGAAGAGCACAGUUGGUGUUUUGGACUUCCAACUCUAGUUAUCCCUCCUACUCUUUUGAUGUAAAUAGUUGUAGUACAUACUUAUGUUUUGAUAUGGACCACAAUCUAUGCUUUGAAUUUCUUACUUUUGUAAUUGUAUUUAGUCAAGUGAAUGCUUCACUCCACUUCUUGUCACAAGAUGGAUGAAUAACUGGACCUUGAAAAUAUGUCAUGUCAAUAUUAUAUUUCUAUUUCAUA